CGGACGGGUGAGUAACGCGUGAGAAUCUACCUUCAGGUUCGGGACAACCACUGGAAACGGUGGCUAAUACCGAAUGUGCCGAGAGGUGAAAGGCUUGCUGCCUGAAGAAGAGCUUGCGUCUGAUUAGCUAGUUGGUGUGGUAAAGGCGCACCAAGGCGACGAUCAGUAGCUGGUCUGAGAGGAUGAUCAGCCACACUGGGACUGAGACACGGCCCAGACUCCUACGGGAGGCAGCAGUGGGGAAUUUUCCGCAAUGGGCGAAAGCCUGACGGAGCAAUACCGCGUGAGGGAGGAAGGCUCUUGGGUUGUAAACCUCUUUUCUCAGGGAAGAAAAAAAUGACGGUACCUGAGGAAUAAGCAUCGGCUAACUCCGUGCCAGCAGCCGCGGUAAUACGGAGGAUGCAAGCGUUAUCCGGAAUGAUUGGGCGUAAAGGGUCCGCAAGUGGCAUUGUUUGUCUGCUGUUAAAGAGUUUGGCUCAACCAAAUAAGAGCAGUGGAAACUACAAAGCUAGAGUAUGGUCGGGGCAGAGGGAAUUCCUGGUGUAGCGGUGAAAUGCGUAGAUAUCAGGAAGAACACCGGUGGCGAAGGCGCUCUGCUAGGCAAAAACUGACACUGAGGGACGAAAGCUAGGGGAGCUAUUGGGAUUAGAUACCCCAGUAGUC
This 663-nucleotide ribosomal RNA is filed under the name uncultured Dolichospermum sp. Its description in RNAcentral is "bacterial SSU rRNA". It matches the Rfam family "Bacterial small subunit ribosomal RNA", at positions 99 to 795 of the family's 1533-position model. Lineage: Bacteria; Bacillati; Cyanobacteriota; Cyanophyceae; Nostocales; Aphanizomenonaceae. The record is from RNAcentral.